This 229-nucleotide unclassified non-coding RNA is filed under the name plant metagenome. RNAcentral describes it as "partial contains small subunit ribosomal RNA, internal transcribed spacer 1, and 5.8S ribosomal RNA". The record is from RNAcentral.
UUUCCGUAGGUGAACCUGCGGAGGGAUCAUUACAGAGUUCAUGCCCUACCGGGUAGAUCUCCCACCCUAUGUUUUUAUUACUUUGUUGCUUCGGCGGGCCGUUAGGCUCCGGCCGGCCUACCGGCCCCGGCUGGUAAGCGCCCGCCAGAGGACCCAAAACCCUGAAUAUUAGUGUCGUCUGAGUACUAUAUAAUAGUUAAAACUUUCAACAACGGAUCUCUUGGUUCUG